GGUCACUGCUGGUCACUGCUGGUCACUGCUGGUCAUUACUGGUCACUGCUGGUCACUGCUGGUCAUUACUGGUCACUGCUGGUCACUGCAUGGCUGCUUUCUGCGGAGCACGGUGGCACUGGCCGGGGGCACCAGAGGAGAUUUAUGAACCGCUGCUGCAGCAAACCUGGAGCAGGAGCAAGGCUGCAGCUCAAGGGAGGAAGGGUGGGAAACUCAGUCCAGGGAGUGAGAGGAAACAGUGGCAGAGGAGUAUCCUCUGGCAGGAACGGUGUUUCCUGCUGCACAGAUUUGUUACAGACGCUGCUUCCAUGUAGAUGAGCUGACAUUUUGUGUCUUGUGUUGGUGAGGAUCCAGGAAACUUUGUACCUCGUUUAAGGGGGUGUUUCCUCCUUUCUGCCCGGGCUCCCCAAUCCCCGACCAGCGGUGCUGGAGGCUGUGGUGCCCCACAGCAGCCAAGGGACAGGCUGCAGGUGCUGCUCCAGGACAGAGCUGGGAGGUGUCAGCUGAGCAGAGGAUGCUGUUAGACUCUGGCACCCACUCCUCGGUCUCCAGUGGAGAAUUGCAGCCUGAGCACACAAAACCUCUUCAAGUAAAUUAGUAACAGAAAUGAGACUUAGAAUGGGUGGCUAAUGGAGGGUCGAAGAGCGUGUUUGGUCUGUGUGUGGUCCUUGUCCUACCUUUGCAUCUUCAGAGACCGAACUUGAAAGGAUCAUGGCUGGGCUCUGGGAAGAGUCUGCCACGUGGAGUCCUCCAAACCUCCCUUCACUUGGUCUCCUCUAGGACUUCUGCCUCCUUCAGGAAUCAAAAUCUGACUCACUUUCCAUUAUGUCUCGUCAAAUCUUGGACUACUUAGAAACAUAUCAAAAAUUAAAAUAAUCUCUUUUGACAACAUCGAAGCCUGUGGUGUUUGAAUCUUUGAUAUGAAGAUUUCUCCUGCUUGGAGAACAGCUCAUUUUUAAUGCUGUGAAAUAGAGCAUGAUAACUGUGCUGCUGUCUGUACUACAGUGAGCAUUAUGUGCUGCUUAAUAAAAUGGUGCUCCUGUCCAA
This is a long non-coding RNA of Taeniopygia guttata (zebra finch), 1047 nucleotides long. RefSeq lists it as uncharacterized. NCBI's taxonomy places the organism in Eukaryota, Metazoa, Chordata, Aves, Passeriformes, Estrildidae. The record is from RefSeq and is a predicted model, not a curated record.